RNAcentral lists this small RNA (29 nucleotides) under Bombyx mori (domestic silkworm). Its description in RNAcentral is "ovarian small RNA-24618". The record is from RNAcentral. Lineage: Eukaryota; Metazoa; Arthropoda; Insecta; Lepidoptera; Bombycidae.
UCAACCUGUAGUGCUACCUUAUUGUAAUC